GAUGAAGAACGUAGCGAAAUGCGAUACGUAAUGUGAAUUGCAGAAUUCAGUGAAUCAUCGAAUCUUUGAACGCAUAUUGCGCUCUUUGGUAUUCCGAAGAGCAUGCUUGUUUGAGUAUCAGUAAACACCUCAAAGCUUUUGGAUUUUUUAAUCGAAAAGCUUUGGACUUGAGCAAUCCCAACACCAAUCUUUUUGAGAUCGGUGGCGGGUUGCUUGAAAUGCAGGUGCAGCUGGACAUUCUCCUGAGCUAAAAGCAUAUUCAUUUAGUCCCGUCAAACGGAUUAUUACUUUUGCUGCAGCUAACAUAAAGGGAGUUUGACCGUAUUGGCUGACUGAUGCAGGAUUUCACAAGGGUCGGCAACGAUUCUUGUUAAACUCGAUCUCAAAUCAAGUAAGACUACCCGCUGAACUUAAGCAUAUCAAUAAGCGGAGA
This 433-nucleotide unclassified non-coding RNA is filed under the name soil metagenome. RNAcentral's name for it is "partial contains 5.8S ribosomal RNA, internal transcribed spacer 2, and large subunit ribosomal RNA". The stretch from base 1 to 120 matches the Rfam family "5.8S ribosomal RNA", at positions 35 to 154 of the family's 154-position model. The record is from RNAcentral.